This 425-nucleotide ribosomal RNA is filed under the name uncultured bacterium. RNAcentral describes it as "partial 16S ribosomal RNA". It matches the Rfam family "Bacterial small subunit ribosomal RNA", at positions 354 to 796 of the family's 1533-position model. The record is from RNAcentral.
GUGGGGAAUCUUGCGCAAUGGGCGAAAGCCUGACGCAGCAACGCCGCGUGCGGGAUGAAGGCCUUCGGGUUGUAAACCGCUUUCAGCAGGGACGAAAAUGACGGUACCUGCAGAAGAAGCUCCGGCUAACUACGUGCCAGCAGCCGCGGUAAUACGUAGGGAGCAAGCGUUGUCCGGAUUUAGUGGGCGUAAAGAGCUCGUAGGCGGUUUCGUAAGUCGAGUGUGAAAAAUCUGGGCUUAACUCAGUGGAGCACUCGAUACUGCGAUGACUUGAGUCUGGUAGAGGAGUGUGGAAUUCCUGGUGUAGCGGAGAAAUGCGCAGAUAUCAGGAGGAACACCAACGGCGAAGGCAGCACUCUGGGUCAGUACUGACGCUGAGGAGCGAAAGCGUGGGGAGCAAACAGGAUUAGAAACCCCUGUAGUCC